Molecule: ribosomal RNA, 202 nt
Filed under: uncultured bacterium
Lineage: Bacteria
Description: partial 16S ribosomal RNA
Rfam family: Bacterial small subunit ribosomal RNA
Source: RNAcentral
UAGUCUGCAACCCGACUACAUGAAGCUGGAAUCGCUAGUAAUCGCGGAUCAGAAUGCCGCGGUGAAUACGUUCCCGGGUCUUGUACACACCGCCCGUCACACCAUGGGAGUCGGAAAUGCCCGAAGUCUGUAACCCAACCUGAGAGGGAGGGAGCAGCCGAAGGCAGGUCUGAUGACUGGGGUGAAGUCGUAACAAGGUAAC